This 209-nucleotide non-coding RNA is filed under the name Pseudomonas citronellolis. RNAcentral describes it as "sucA-II RNA". It matches the Rfam family "sucA-II RNA". The record is from RNAcentral. Lineage: Bacteria; Pseudomonadati; Pseudomonadota; Gammaproteobacteria; Pseudomonadales; Pseudomonadaceae.
GUGCCGCCGGAACAUUGUCCGGCGGUGCGGUUGCAACGGGCCCCAGCCCACAAAGCCGGGGUCUGACUCGAAAACGUAUAUAUGACCAGCAGGGGCAUCCGGGCUGGUACCCGGACUAUCUGCGGGAACCUUUGUGGCUACCAGUCGCUGCACAGGGCUGGGUCCCCCGAGAGUUCCAUCAGGUGGAGUCCCCUUACCGAGGGUGACCA